Nymphaea colorata (pocket water lily) is the source of this 2012-nucleotide RNA transcript. RefSeq lists it as uncharacterized. Lineage: Eukaryota; Viridiplantae; Streptophyta; Magnoliopsida; Nymphaeales; Nymphaeaceae. The record is from RefSeq and is a predicted model, not a curated record. The transcript is spliced from 7 exons.
GGGUUUCAUUUUCUCCAACUCCGACUAUCCUCCUGGCUCUCUGCCUCUCUCCGACUUCUCCUUCUCUUCUCCCUGCCUCUCUCCGACUUCUCCUUCUCUUCUCCCAUUAUCCCUCUACCUCUCUUCGGCUUCUCCUUCUCUUCUCCCGUUAUCCCUCUUCCUCUCUGCCUCUCUCCGACUUCUCCUUCUCCCGUUAUCCCUCUUCCUCUCUGCCUCUCUCCGACUUCUCCUUCUCUUCUCCCGUUCUCAGUCUGUGAGUGACUGAAACUUUUCCUUCAUUGUGAGUUUGCAACCCUAACGGCCUACCGCCUAACCUUUACUCGCCUGCAGGCCACUUCCUUUAUCCUUCAAGCCUUCAAGGUCAACCGGCUACUCUGCUCUGCUUUCAGCCCAAGGUUCCUGCAUGUGUAAGUUCCUGUUGAAGAUUCCUGCUUGUCUAUGAUCUGGAGUUUACCGUGGACCAUAAGCUUGUUGCUGUCAGCAAUGGAGACUUACUUUGUCAGGGCUGCAUAGAAGGAAGCCACAGACAAGUCACCCUGUUUAAGAGAAUAGAUGCUGCAUUUAAUCUGGUAUGUACGCAGGACUCUCUUUUUACGGCCAUACAUCCUCGCAAGUACAGUCCACAUGUCAUAUGAGGUUAACUUUUGCAAAAUAAGGGGCUGAAUAUCUGUAGAAACAGAACUAAUAAUCCAAACCUUAACUUGAUUAUCUUCCAACGCCCAAGUCGCCCAUCCAGGAUCAGUUUUACUAGGCGCAGGUUUCUCCCCAGUGAUAUAGGGCAGACGACCGCGACUAGUGAUCCCAAUUUCAAGCGCAGCAGACCAAGAGAGAUAAUUGUCUUUGUUCAGCUGAAUAGAGGUGACAGGAACAUGCAAAUUUUCGCUCUUGGUAUUGCUGCCCAUGUCAAAGGAGGAGGACCCGGGCACUGUGGCACUUUGCCUACAAUGGAGGACGGGCAGCGGCAGAGCAACAGGAUUUUCGGCAAGCAGGCACAGGGCGGCGAACAAGCAAGGCGACGGCGGGCGGCGUCGAACUGCGAGCUGCGUUGGUGCACCCAGGCGACGUCGGGCGGUGGCGCACGCCAGGCGACGGCGGGCGGCGGUGGGAUGAUGAGCUGCGUCGGCGGCGGGACUUAGAACUCCAGCAAGGUGUAUCAUCAGCGGAGGAUUGUGAAUAUCAAAUUUCUGAGUUGGAAGAAAUUCUGGAUUCUAAGGUUUUUAAUUUGGAAGACAGAAAUGAUCUAGAAGUGCAUGUCCCUAUGGCUAUAGAAAUUAAAAGGUAUUACAGUUCAUGGUUUGUCAAUGUGGACCUCAAAGGAGAGAUGGACUCUUUGUGGACAAAGUUUGUUGAACCAGAGUUGCCAUACCCCUAAAGAAAUGAGGUGCUCUGGCCCAUGCAGAAGCACGUCCAUUGCAUGGUUGAUCUGAGAUUGCCCAGGAAGGGCACAAGUACAAGUGGUGAUCCCCAAAGUGAAUGUUGGACGCACUUGAUCAGUGGCUUUUAGGCAAUUAAAUGGCCUCGUGGAACUGCCAUCUUCGUUUACAGGUUUCUGUCAGGAUAUGGUGGUAAAAUUUUCAGGUCAUUUUCAAUCUUCUAUGAGACCUAAAAUCAUUAGAUAUGAUAUUCUGAAAUAGAGGUAACACCAAUUAGUGGAGUGGCUCAUCCGAUUAGUGACUGACUGACUGGUAAGUGGUCGCUUGCAUUGCAAGAUUAAGCAUGGCUGUCCUGUGAUGCAAAUUAGUGAGAAGAUCUAUUCAUUGUUUGCUGGUAUCUUCAUAUCCACAAGGCAUACCAAUGAGAAAAAUUGUGCUAUGGGAGCACUUGUAUUAUCUGAUGUAUUCCAUAUGACUUUGUCCCAUGUGAUGCAUACCCAUAGUUUGAAAGAUGCAUCAUGUUGGCCUUGCAUGGCAGUGGGAUGCUGUAUGUUAAAAAUCUGGCUUUAUGCUCAUUCUUUUGUGGUAUUUCUGUAAAAAAUUUCAUAAGAUGCUACACCUUAGCCUUUUCCCUGAUAA